This 459-nucleotide ribosomal RNA is filed under the name uncultured bacterium. RNAcentral describes it as "partial 16S ribosomal RNA". It matches the Rfam family "Bacterial small subunit ribosomal RNA", at positions 338 to 795 of the family's 1533-position model. The record is from RNAcentral.
CCUACGGGGGGCAGCAGUGAGGAAUAUUGGUCAAUGGGCGCGAGCCUGAACCAGCCAAGUCGCGUGAGGGAAGACGGUCCUAUGGAUUGUAAACCUCUUUUGUCGGGGAGCAAAAGACGCCACGCGUGGCGUUCCGAGAGUACCCGAAGAAAAAGCAUCGGCUAACUCCGUGCCAGCAGCCGCGGUAAGACGGAGGAUGCGAGCGUUAUCCGGAUUUAUUGGGGUUAAAGGGUGCGCAGGCGGAAGAUCAAGUCAGCGGUAAAAUUGAGAGGCUCAACCUCUUCGAGCCGUUGAAACUGGUGUUCUUGAGUGAGUGAGAGGUAUGCGGAAUGCGUGGUGUAGCGGUGAAAUGCAUAGAUAUCACGCAGAACUCCGAUUGCGAAGGCAGCAUACCGGCGCUCAACUGACGCUCAUGCACGAAAGUGUGGGUAUCGAACAGGAUUAGAUACCCCAGUAGUC